GGAGGAGUGCGAGAGCGGCCGAAUCGGCACGCUUGGAAAGCGUGUGAACCGAAAGGUUCCGUGGGUUCGAAUCCCACCUCCUCCG
RNAcentral lists this transfer RNA (85 nucleotides) under bacterium. RNAcentral's name for it is "tRNA-Ser". It matches the Rfam family "tRNA". From Rfam's summary of the family: Transfer RNA (tRNA) molecules are approximately 80 nucleotides in length. Their secondary structure includes four short double-helical elements and three loops (D, anti-codon, and T loops). Further hydrogen bonds mediate the characteristic L-shaped molecular structure. tRNAs have two regions of fundamental functional importance: the anti-codon, which is responsible for specific mRNA codon recognition, and the 3' end, to which the tRNAs corresponding amino acid is attached (by aminoacyl-tRNA synthetases). tRNAs cope with the degeneracy of the genetic code in two manners: having more than one tRNA (with a specific anti-codon) for a particular amino acid; and 'wobble' base-pairing, i.e. permitting non-standard base-pairing at the 3rd anti-codon position. The record is from RNAcentral. RNAcentral also lists the same sequence under 2 other names.